UAGUUUAGGGUUUAAAACCCUAAUGCUGGCUGAAUGAAAGAGUUCAGUUUAGGGUUUAAAACCCUAAUGCUGACUAAAGGAAAAGUUCAGUUUAGGGUUUAAAACCCUAAUGCUGACUGCAUGGAAAAGCUCAGUUUAGUGUUUAAAACCCUAAUGCUGGCUGAAUGGAAAAAGUUCAGUUUAGGGUUUAAACCCUAAUGUUGACUAAAGGGAAAAUUCAGUUUAGGAUUUAAAACCCUAAUGCUGACUGCAUGGAAAAGCUCAGUUUAGGGUUUAAAACCCUAAUGCUGGCUGAAUGGAAAAAGUUCAGUUUAGGGUUUAAAACCCUAAUGCUGACUAAAAGGAAAAGUUCAGUUUAGGGUUUAAAACCCUAAUGCUGAUUAAAGGGAAAAGUUCAGUUUAGGAUUUAAAACCCUAAUGCUGACUGCAUGGAAAAGUUCAGUUUAGGGUUUAAAACCCUAAUGUUGACUGCAUGGGAAAGCUCAGUUUAGGGUUUAAGACCCUAAUGCUGGCUGAAAAAAGUUCAGUUUAGGGUAUAAAACCCUAAUGCUGACUGGUUGGGGGUAAAGUUCGAGGAUGCUAGCUAACCCUUCUU
Molecule: long non-coding RNA, 595 nt
Filed under: Nicotiana tabacum (common tobacco)
Lineage: Eukaryota; Viridiplantae; Streptophyta; Magnoliopsida; Solanales; Solanaceae
Description: long non-coding RNA (NTAB_LNC008306)
Source: RNAcentral